Molecule: long non-coding RNA, 1009 nt
Organism: Poecilia latipinna (sailfin molly)
Lineage: Eukaryota; Metazoa; Chordata; Actinopteri; Cyprinodontiformes; Poeciliidae
Exons: 3
Source: RefSeq, a predicted model, not a curated record
UAUCUUCCAGUUCCAGUAUUGACUUGUUUAAAACAUUAAAGUGUAUUGGUCUUUGAGAUGUUAUAUUAAUAUACCACUUAGAAAUUAUCUCAAAACACCAAUAUUAUCAUAUUUCACAAUAAUUACUGGUACAAUUUAUCAUCCAGCAACAUUUGUUAUUGUGACAGGCCUAACAAGGUUUGGGUCACACUGUCUUUGAUAAACACAACUCCUGCUGUGUUUAACAAACUCUAAUAAUUCAAUAUAAAGAUCAGUAUUUGUGGAUUUUACUGUGAUGAAUAUCUAAAAUAUUUGAAAAAAAAAAUCAGUUUGGGAAGCUAGAAUGCUACUUGGCAGACUAUUUGUCUAGUGUUCAAAAAGCAGUCAGUCCUGCAAUGCCAUUUGUUUUUCUUGGCUGUACCCUCAAGAAUUAGAUAUGAAAGAUUGGAGAUGUUAGUUUCUGCUGUAGUGCUCAGAGGGUUUCCAUUGUGCUUAUUCAUUCAUUCAUAUUUAGGUAUAUUUGUUGUUUGAACUAUUAAAAUAACUAGUUCUAUGCAAUUUUAGAGGGGUCACAAGUAUUUGCAGAUUUUAGCUGUUUGUAGCCCUUAACGCCCACAAAAACCACGGUCCCCUGUACUCUGAAAUUAAGGAGAAGGCAAAGUGUGUUUAUUAAAAGUUUAAUAUUUUGUGUUGGACCCCACAUUUUUAAAAUUACAAUUAAAAGUCUCUGACAUCACAUCACGUGCUAACUCUUUAACAACAUUUCAACCAGCAUCGCACUGAGAAGUACCUGGUAUAAUGAGUUCAGCAGAGGCACAGUUCCCCCAGGUGUUUGCUAAUUGCUGCUGGCUAGUGUGAAGGAGGUGAGGGAGAUCGUCCAAGCAGCCAUUUUGCGCAGCUGAAUGGCUGCCAUAGAGAUUAAAGGAUUUCUCAAACGUGCAUAAAAAAAUCCAAGCAACACUCCCGGUAUGUUUUUGAUGAGGGAAUAACAUUAUAACAUGAUGUAAAGCUCAAAAUAAUGGAUUUUACA